This 465-nucleotide ribosomal RNA is filed under the name uncultured bacterium. RNAcentral's name for it is "partial 16S ribosomal RNA". It matches the Rfam family "Bacterial small subunit ribosomal RNA", at positions 28 to 507 of the family's 1533-position model. The record is from RNAcentral.
GACGAACGCUGGCGGCGUGCUUAACACAUGCAAGUCGAACGGAAAGGCCCUGCUUGCGGGGUACUCGAGUGGCGAACGGGUGAGUAACACGUGGGUGAUCUGCCCUCCACUUCUUGAUAAGCCUUGGAAACUGGGUCUAAUACCGGAUAUGAGCCAUUCUUAGUGUGAUGGGUGGAAAGUUUUUUCGGUGUAGGAUGAGCUCGCGGCCUAUCAGCUUGUUGGUGGGGUAAUGGCCGACCAAGGCGGCGACGGGUAGCCGGCCUGAGAGGGUGGACGGCCACAUUGGGACUGAGAUACGGCCCAGAGUCCUACGGGAGGCAGCAGUGGGGAAUAUUGCACCAUGGGCGCAAGCCUGAUGCAGCGACGCCGCGUGGGGGAUGACGGCCUUAGGGGUGUAAACUCCUUUCGCUAGGGACGAAGCUUUUUGUGACGGUACCUAGAGAAGAAGCACCGGCUAACUACGUG